Molecule: ribosomal RNA, 499 nt
Filed under: uncultured organism
Description: bacterial SSU rRNA
Rfam family: Bacterial small subunit ribosomal RNA
Source: RNAcentral
AACGAACGCUGGCGGCGUGCUUAACACAUGCAAGUCGAACGCGAAAGGGACUUCGGUCCUGAGUAAAGUGGCGCACGGGUGAGUAACGCGUAGAUAACCUGUCUUCACGUCUGGAAUAAUACGCCGAAAGGGGUACUAAUACCGGAUAUUCUUGCUUUUCAUAAGUUUUGCAAGGAAAGGUGGCCUCUGAAUAUGCUACUGCGCGAAGAGGGGUCUGCGUACCAUUAGCUAGUAGGUGGGGUAAUGGCCUACCUAGGCUACGAUGGUUAGCGGGUCUGAGAGGAUGAUCCGCCACACUGGCACUGGAACACGGGCCAGACUCCUACGGGAGGCAGCAGUGAGGAAUAUUGCGCAAUGGGGGAAACCCUGACGCAGCGACGCCGCGUGAGUGAGGAAGGCCUUCGGGUCGUAAAGCUCUGUCAAAGGGAAAGAAGUGCAUGAUGGCUAAUACCUGUCAUGUUUGACGGUACCCUUAAAGGAAGCACCGGCUAACUCCGUG